Molecule: long non-coding RNA, 416 nt
Organism: Dioscorea cayenensis subsp. rotundata (Guinea yam)
Lineage: Eukaryota; Viridiplantae; Streptophyta; Magnoliopsida; Dioscoreales; Dioscoreaceae
Exons: 3
Source: RefSeq, a predicted model, not a curated record
CACAAUGUUAUCCGCAUAGUCUGGACGCCGAGCUACAAAACUGAAUGCUGCAGUCAUCCCUUUAGAAGCUGCGGAGGUUAGAUCAGAAGUACCUGUGAAAGUUGAGAAGAUUUACACAACAACAGUUGUCUCAGUGGAGACUCUUGUUGGCCCCAAAGGCGAAAUCGGAGAGGUCUGCCAUAUUGUGCUUGAUCACGGUGGCAGUUUUAGUUUCAAGGAAGGCCAAUAUCUUUUUAGUACAUUUUCAAUCGAUCAAACGCUAUUUCUCGAUUGCAUCAGGUAGCAGUGGAGAUACUUUUGAUGGCAAGACACUCAGUCUAUGCGUUCGUCGUGCCGAACUGUCGCCAGACAGUGUCAGUAACUUCCUCUGUAAUGUUAAAGCUGGAGACACAGUUGACAUUUCAGGUCCUUUUUGG